ACUUCCUACGGGGCGCAGCAGUGGGGAAUAUUGGACAAUGGGGGGAACCCUGAUCCAGCGACGCCGCGUGAGUGAAGAAGUAUUUCGGUAUGUAAAGCUCUAUCAGCAGGGAAGAAAAUGACGGUACCUGACUAAGAAGCCCCGGCUAACUACGUGCCAGCAGCCGCGGUAAUACGUAGGGGGCAAGCGUUAUCCGGAAUUACUGGGUGUAAAGGGAGCGUAGACGGUGAUGUAAGUCUGGAGUGAAAGGCGGGGGCCCAACCCCCGGACUGGUCUGGAAACUAUGUG
Molecule: ribosomal RNA, 288 nt
Filed under: uncultured bacterium
Lineage: Bacteria
Description: partial 16S ribosomal RNA
Rfam family: Bacterial small subunit ribosomal RNA
Source: RNAcentral